Dalotia coriaria is the source of this 476-nucleotide long non-coding RNA. RefSeq lists it as uncharacterized. NCBI's taxonomy places the organism in Eukaryota, Metazoa, Arthropoda, Insecta, Coleoptera, Staphylinidae. The record is from RefSeq and is a predicted model, not a curated record. The transcript is spliced from 2 exons.
AGCAAAGCUGAGUAUAUAAGCGCAAAAUAAAAAUUUCAGCAAGUAUAGUCUGAUUUAACCCGAUUUAGUUACACGUUAGGUCAAGUGAUACAACAUAUUAAAAAUGAGAACUGUUCUCCUAAUUGUGGCUGCAUGCCUGGCCAUGUCACUGGUGUUGGCUGCUGCUGGUGAUGAAGUUUGCAAUACGGUGUGUGCUGGUCAUGAUCCCAAUUUGAAUAUGCAUUUGCCGUAUCCAGAUGAUAACACCAAAUUUUGUCAUUGUGGAUUAGAUGGAAACUGGGAAGAAGAUUGCCCUCCUGGACUAGUCUUCGAUCCCCAAAUGCAAGUUUGUGACUGGCCGGAAGAAAAAUAAUGCUGCUUACCUAAACAAAAAUAAUAACUCAUUGAAAAGCUCACAGAAUAAGUAUUUAUUUGUUGCUGAUUCACAUGCUUAAAUAUUUUAUUCAUCAAUAAAAACUGAUAUUUAUAUUAAUAAA